RNAcentral lists this transfer RNA (72 nucleotides) under Candidatus Altarchaeales archaeon. Its description in RNAcentral is "tRNA-Arg". It matches the Rfam family "tRNA". Rfam says of the family: Transfer RNA (tRNA) molecules are approximately 80 nucleotides in length. Their secondary structure includes four short double-helical elements and three loops (D, anti-codon, and T loops). Further hydrogen bonds mediate the characteristic L-shaped molecular structure. tRNAs have two regions of fundamental functional importance: the anti-codon, which is responsible for specific mRNA codon recognition, and the 3' end, to which the tRNAs corresponding amino acid is attached (by aminoacyl-tRNA synthetases). tRNAs cope with the degeneracy of the genetic code in two manners: having more than one tRNA (with a specific anti-codon) for a particular amino acid; and 'wobble' base-pairing, i.e. permitting non-standard base-pairing at the 3rd anti-codon position. The record is from RNAcentral. Lineage: Archaea; Nanobdellati; Candidatus Altarchaeota; Candidatus Altarchaeia; Candidatus Altarchaeales.
GGUCCCGUAGUUCAACGGAUAGAGCACAGGCUUCCGAAGCCUGAAAUCCAGGUUCGAACCCUGGCGGGACUA